GAGGGGUGUAUAAACUUAUCGCUGCUAACGAUAAUGGGAGUUGUUUAUUUAACUCGCCCCUUU
Molecule: transfer RNA, 63 nt
Filed under: Azygia robusta
Lineage: Eukaryota; Metazoa; Platyhelminthes; Trematoda; Azygiida; Azygiidae
Description: tRNA-Ser
Source: RNAcentral